Molecule: long non-coding RNA, 2870 nt
Filed under: Citrus sinensis (sweet orange)
Lineage: Eukaryota; Viridiplantae; Streptophyta; Magnoliopsida; Sapindales; Rutaceae
Description: long non-coding RNA (CSIN_LNC001771)
Source: RNAcentral
UCUGCCCGUCUCUUGUCAAGAUCAGCCCUACACAGACAGUAAUAAGCAGCAUAAAUAUGAAAAUGUGACCACACUGACCAAUCGUAAGGGUCUGCAAUAAUGAGAAAACGUUUAAUCAAAGGUAAACAAUACUUGUAGGUUUCCAUAAACUCCUGGGCGCUUUCUUCAAUGGCCUUAAAAUAGGCUUCGAUCCCUGCACCAGAAACAGAGGAUACUCCAACUGACUUUAAAUUCUUGUAAAACUCAUCCAGCGCAAGGGAGAGGCUGUUGGUUAAAGUCGAAGUAUAUGAGUGAUCCGAACUUAUUGCCGCCUGAAACACCUCAAAGUCUUGCAUCCACUGCAUACAAAGCAGAUUAGACAAUCCAAGAACCAAUGCUUACAUAUACUUCUAAAUCAAAAUCAAAGAAUGCACAAAACUUCAACUGUUAUUCAGAUUUUAGAAACAGCGUAAAAAGGCCUUUUAAAGGAUUAUAAUAAGUAUAUGCUAAUUAAAUAAAGUAUUCUUUUCAGUUAUCAUUGAGGGAGUGGUAAUAAUGGUGAAAGGUCAAAACCAAGAGAGAUGUCCUUCAAAAUGGGCUCCACGCUUGCAAAACAAUGAAAUAGAGGUUAGAGGUGAAGCUGGGGUACCUCGGCGUUCACACUAUGACGCUCAAGUUAGCAAACUCAAGCUUUUAUGGCAAAAAGAGCUGGCUAGCCAUUUGUAAAUUAGGGUUUAAGGUUAAAGGAAACCUAUUUUUUGGAGUGUGAGUGUUAAUGGUGAGUGAGAGACCUCUUGGAGAAUGAAACCUAGGCGCCUUUAUAUAUGGAGUACCUCAACUGCCAUGUGGCAUACCCUUUUUGGCUAACGUCCUUUUUUCUUUUUAUGAUUUUUGGGCCAUUAUGCGCAUGUUAGCGGCGUAUCUCAUCUUUUGGAAACGUGGCGCGCGCUGGAGAGUGUUCCAGGGUACCUCUGCAGUAGUUGUCGGGUAGGCGGUUGAGGACCACUGUCCUUGGGACAGUGUCCUUCACUUUUGGUAGAGGUGACAAGCGGCUGUCCCCCCUUUUAGCACGACAUUUUUGACUCAUAAUUCUGACAAAAUCGAAUAAUAUCUUUUAAGAGAUGGAAACGUUUCUCAUAGCAGAUAUUUUUGGAGGAUUCUCUUGCAUCCGAUCAGCCGGGUUCCUCUAAUUGUGCGGGGUACCUCUAUUUGCGCAGGGUACCUUGAAUCAUGCCAGGUACCUCAGAUUAUGCGGGGUACCUUAGAUUGUGUGGGGCACCUCUAAUUGUGUGGGAUACCUCUAUUUGCGCAAGGUAUCUUGAAUCAUGCCGGGUAUCUGAGGUACCCGGCAUGAUUCAAGGUACCUGCUGUACCGUACAUCCGCCUUGGCCGUACAGCAGGCUAUUCGGCUGUUUCCUUUUGAGAAUUGUAUGAGCUGGAGGUGUGAUUGUGUUACCAUUUCAUUUUUCUAUUCUGCUUUGGAUGAAUGUAAUCAUUGGCUUUGAUGUUUGGGAAUGGCCCUCUCUGCCCCUCUUCCCUAUUCUUUUUUGAAAGAAAAUUGGAUUGUGCUUCUUAAUUAGUCUAUUUGAAUUUCAGCGUGUGGUUUCAAUUCCUUGUAAAUGACUCUAUGGGAUUUCAAUUUGAUGUUUAGGGGACUUGAUAAGUAUGGAGCCUCCAUGUCGGGUGUAGCAAAUGUUUUAAUUGGUUAAUUCGGUUGCACCGUUCAUUCCUUGUGAGGGUAUCUCAUAUCUUUGAACAGUACGUGUGAUAUUUUAUUGGAUUUGGAAAGCUGCUGUACCGUACAUCCGCCUUGGCCGUACAGCAGAUUCUUUUCUAAUUCAAGAUAAGAGGUAUUUCAGACAUUUCACUAACUUUCAAAUAACUCCAUUAAAAAUAACGGUCAAAUUAACGAAAUUAGGUGCGCGGUGAAAAAUAUCAAAAAGUUUGGGCGCACAGUGAAAAAUGUUGAAAGAUUUGAGGGUUAGGUGGAAAUAACCCUUCUAUAAGGCUCUCAAGAACUUAUUCGCAGAUGAAGAAUCUGUAACCCGCUCGCCAAAUUUGGACGCUGCCUCGCCAUCUUUUUGUAACGAUUGAACGCAUAAGCAUGGUGACGUGUCAUGCAAAGAGAAAUACAUACAAAUAUACAUGGGAAUGGGAUGUCUUGUUAUCAACACCAUUUACCUAUUAGCAAUGAAGAGCAUGGCAAAGCAAAAUCCCACUGGGGUUCAAAAUUCCCCUCAAUUGCCACAAAUUAAAGAGUAUGGCAAACCAUUAAAUACACACAUAGGCAAUCAUGAAAACACAUGGCAUGAAUUCAUUGGAUGGUCCAUGGCUCGAGCUCUUCUACUCUAGUUCAUGGUUUCUCUUGGCUGGACCAUCCCACCUAUGUCUUUCUCAUGAAGUGUAACUUCAUCCUCAUCCUCAUCGAUAACAUCUUCCUCUUCGCUAAGUCUCUCAAAAUCAUCAUCCUCAUCUAUAUCUUCUUCUUGUACUUCAUCUUCAUCCAUCAUGGCAGCCCUAAUCCUAGCUUCUCUGUCCUUCAGACCAGUGUUCAAGACCACCGUGUCUCCCUUGGACUUCUCCAUAUCCUUCCUCAGUUUGUUUAUGUUCUCCUUCUGGCGUUCUUCCUCCAAACGCUGCUUCUCUGCCCGUCUCUUGUCAAGAUCAGCCCUACACAGACAGUAAUAAGCAGCAUAAAUAUGAAAAUGUGACCACACUGACCAAUCGUAAGGGUCUGCAAUAAUGAGAAAACGUUUAAUCAAAGGUAAACAAUACUUGUAGGUUUCCAUAAACUCCUGGGCGCUUUCUUCAAUGGCCUUAAAAUAGGCUUCGAUCCCUGCACCAGAAACAGAGGAUACUCCAACUGACUUUAAAUUCUUGUAAAACUCAUC